This 853-nucleotide long non-coding RNA is filed under the name Homo sapiens (human). RNAcentral describes it as "HSALNT0391521". The record is from RNAcentral. Lineage: Eukaryota; Metazoa; Chordata; Mammalia; Primates; Hominidae.
GGCGCCCACCGUAAGCCUCCCGGGCCUUGUGAACCUGCAAACCCAAGUCUGAGAGACGAUCCGCCUUCAGCGCUUUCCAGCUUGGCAGAGAGGCUUUCCCGGCGGGGAUCUUUGGUUGGCGCUGGCGAUGCGCGGGGAAGAAAGGCGAGGAGCGGCGUCCAGGCUGGGUGAUGUCCCAGCACGAGUAGGCGGGAUGCGCUCGCUUGGUCCUCCGGGCGCCCGGUCCCUGCCCGCGUCGCGCGCCCACCCCUGGGGACGAGAAGGCGGCCGCCUGAGGACCCCCGCCCGCGACCUCCGCGAGUCUGGAGCGCAGAGGACAGGGUCUGGCUGCUCUUUGGCCUUGGAUGGAAAGUGGGGAAUUGGGUGGGGGGCUGCGGACCCCUUAACGUGGAUUACUUGGUGUGUAUCAGCUGGGCUCAGAAGACCCACGACCUCUUCUCCAUCCGUGGAUUGAUUUGUUCUGCUUAACAGCUGGGUCGCCAAGCUGGAGGUAUUUUUCCCUCUCCACCCUGGUCUUCUCCUGUAACGUGUGGCCGCCUUUUCCAGCACGGCCUCCUGCCUUCCUGGUGCACUUUUUGGAGAACGUGGUGGAAUCAGAGGUUUCUGGCUGACUCGGUGGGUGCUUUGAACCAGGAAAGGACAAGAAAGAGGAACUCUGAAAGCCACAUGUUGAGAUGGCCCCAUUACAGGAUGGAGAGCACCUGAACCCCCAAGUUAUGGACUAGAAGAAGACAGUUGCCCUGGAAAAUCAUCUGACCCACAUUGGACUUUAUGUGAGGGGGAAAUAAACCUUUAUUAUGUUAAGCUACACAAUAAUAAAUAACAACAAUAAUUGUGUUUAUUUGUUACCUCA